RNAcentral lists this ribosomal RNA (389 nucleotides) under uncultured bacterium. RNAcentral describes it as "bacterial SSU rRNA". It matches the Rfam family "Bacterial small subunit ribosomal RNA", at positions 30 to 417 of the family's 1533-position model. The record is from RNAcentral.
AUUGAACGCUGGCGGCAUGCCUUACACAUGCAAGUCGAACGGCAGCACGGACUUCGGUCUGGUGGCGAGUGGCGAACGGGUGAGUAAUGUAUCGGAACGUACCUUUCAGUGGGGGAUAACGUAGCGAAAGUUACGCUAAUACCGCAUAUUCUGUGAGCAGGAAAGCAGGGGAUCGCAAGACCUUGCGCUGAUUGAGCGGCCGAUAUCAGAUUAGCUAGUUGGUGAGGUAAAGGCUCACCAAGGCGACGAUCUGUAGCGGGUCUGAGAGGAUGAUCCGCCACACUGGAACUGAGACACGGUCCAGACUCCUACGGGAGGCAGCAGUGGGGAAUUUUGGACAAUGGGGGCGAAACCCUGAUCCAGCCAUGCCGCGUGAGUGAAGAAGGCCU